Molecule: ribosomal RNA, 477 nt
Filed under: uncultured bacterium
Lineage: Bacteria
Description: partial 16S ribosomal RNA
Rfam family: Bacterial small subunit ribosomal RNA
Source: RNAcentral
GAUUAACGCUGGCGGCGUGCAUAACACAUGCAAGUCGAACGAUGAAACUUAGUAGACUUCUUCGGAAAGACACUAAGCGGAUUAGUGGCGAACGGGUGAGUAACGCGUGAGUAACCUGCCUUACACAAGGGGAUAGCCUUUGGAAACGAAGAAUAAUACCCUAUAAAACCAUAAAAGCACAUGCUAGAAUGGUCAAAGUGAUAGCGGUGUAAGAUGGACUUGCGUCUGAUUAGCUAGUUGGUGAGAUAAAAGCUUACCAAGGCAACGAUCAGUAGCCGGCUUGAGAGAGUGUACGGCCACAUUGGGACUGAGACACGGCCCAGACUCCUACGGGAGGCAGCAGUGGGGAAUUUUGCACAAUGGGGGAAACCCUGAUGCAGCGACGCCGCGUGAUUUAGAAGGCCUUCGGGUUGUAAAAAUCUUUUGUAUAGGAAGAAAAUGACAGUACUAUACGAAUAAGGUCCGGCUAAUUACGUG